This 886-nucleotide ribosomal RNA is filed under the name marine metagenome. Its description in RNAcentral is "bacterial SSU rRNA". It matches the Rfam family "Bacterial small subunit ribosomal RNA", at positions 331 to 1215 of the family's 1533-position model. The record is from RNAcentral.
CCAGACUCCUACGGGAGGCAGCAGUGAGGAAUAUUGGACAAUGGACGAAAGUCUGAUCCAGCUAUGCCGCGUGCAGGAUGACAGCCCUACGGGUUGUAAACUGCUUUUAUACAGGAAGAAAAACCCCGACGUGUCGGGGCUUGACGGUACUGUAAGAAUAAGGAUCGGCUAACUCCGUGCCAGCAGCCGCGGUAAUACGGAGGAUCCAAGCGUUAUCCGGAAUUAUUGGGUUUAAAGGGUCCGCAGGCUGUUUUUUAAGUCAGAGGUGAAAUCCUGCAGCUCAACUGUAGAAUUGCCUUUGAAACUGAAAGACUUGAGUUAUUGUGAAGUGGUUAGAAUGUGUGGUGUAGCGGUGAAAUGCAUAGAUAUCACACAGAAUACCAAUUGCGAAGGCAGAUCACUAACAAUUAACUGACGCUCAGGGACGAAAGCGUGGGUAGCGAACAGGAUUAGAUACCCUGGUAGUCCACGCCGUAAACGAUGGAUACUAGCUGUAUGUCUACCUCAGGUAGAUGUGUGGCCAAGCGAAAGUGAUAAGUAUCCCACCUGGGGAGUACGAUCGCAAGAUUGAAACUCAAAGGAAUUGACGGGGGCCCGCACAAGCGGUGGAGCAUGUGGUUUAAUUCGAUGAUACGCGAGGAACCUUACCAGGGCUUAAAUGUAACGGGACAGGUCUAGAGAUAGACCCUUCUUCGGACUCAUUACAAGGUGCUGCAUGGUUGUCGUCAGCUCGUGCCGUGAGGUGUCAGGUUAAGUCCUAUAACGAGCGCAACCCCCAUCGUUAGUUGCCAACGAGUAAUGUCGGGAACUCUAACGAAACUGCCGGUGCAAACCGUGAGGAAGGUGGGGAUGACGUCAAAUCAUCACGGCCCUUACGUCCUGGGCU